This 502-nucleotide unclassified non-coding RNA is filed under the name Hevea brasiliensis (rubber tree). Lineage: Eukaryota; Viridiplantae; Streptophyta; Magnoliopsida; Malpighiales; Euphorbiaceae. The record is from RNAcentral.
GUGGAGGUAACAAUAUCUUGGUAAGUGUUAUUUGAUCCAAGCAGCUAGCAAUUGCAGUCCUGAAACAGGGCUUUUUACUAAAUGGGGGAAACAGAAAAAUUAAUUACAAGAUGGGUGUAAAUUUAAAGUUAAUUACUAAAGAAGGGGAAAUUUUGCUGAGGUAGAGAAGAUUGGACGUAGCAGAGUCACUACAUGCUAGUCAUAUUAGCGUUUUGUUAUUCGACGUUAAUUAUAUUAUUGUUUUAAGGUUGCCAACUUGCAUGCUAUUAUAAAUGGCGUUUUAAUAUUGCACGCUACUUGUAGCGGUGGUUUGAGAUGAAUGAGUGUGUUCAUGGCUUAUGUUGAAUUUAACUAGCCAAAUCCAUUAUAACCUAUUACCUGUCAAAUAUACUAUUAUAAUAAAUUAUUUCUACAUAAUUUCUUGUACUAUUUUAUUGUCAAAUUAUGCUAUGACUUUUUUAUCGGUUUAUUCAUAAAUAUAAUUGAAUUUUUUUAUUCAUGU